GGUUACUAAUAUAUUCGUUGGAUCCGCCUCGAGUUUCGAGGUACCGGGGGCCGGGUUAACCCGGUCGCUGGCUGCAGGUAGCGUUGACCAAAGGACUUCCGAAAACUUAGUCAACACGAAAGUCAUCUUAGCACACCCCCCUCCGGGACGUCGUGACUUCGUCAACAUUUCAUCCACCUCACCCGACGAUCCGUCUGACGCAGCUUCCGGACCGGAUCAAUUUGGCGCCGUCUGUGGGAACACAUGCACCUGUUCCGGAACGUGAAGAUGGACGGCGUCGGGAGGUUCUUUGCCUUUAUCAUAAUCCCGGAGGAUCUCGACGCAUAUAUUAUCUUUUAUCCUCACUCCACCGGUAUUCGGGAGUCGAGGGAUCGAGUGGAGCUUCAGCUGGCUGACAGGUUAAUUUUUCCAUUAUGUUUUUUCUCUGACUCCACGGGUAUUCGGGAGUUAAGGGACCGAGACAAACCCUUAGUCGGUUGGCACGACUUCCCGAUCAGUUUCUUGGUCGAGCGAUCGAGUGGAGCUUCAGCUGGCUGACAGGUUAAUUUUUCCAUUAUGUUUUUUCUCUGACUCCACGGGUAUUCGGGAGUUAAGGGACCGAGACAAACCCUUAGUCGGUUGGCACGACUUCCCGAUCAGUGAAGAAGACGAUUGAGGAAUCCAUGGAGCAUGGCGUCGGUAGGUGAUGCCAAUGACGAGGGAGGCGUGCGAUCAGGCGCGAAAAAAAAAAAAGAGUUAGUGUACGUACGAAAGGGAAAGAGCAGAUGGAUGAACCUUUACGCUUGUGCCAGAGCGAGGCCAGCGAAGAAGAGAGAAGAGCUGAGCUGCUGAGGCGAGGUCACAAGCAACGAAGCAGGUGGUGAAUUGAUGAAUUUAAUGAUCAACUCAAGUAAACGGAAGGUUGAAGCAGACAACUCUAGUUAAGCGGACCGAUCGUCCCAAUUCGAUAUUCGAUAU
This is a long non-coding RNA of Zingiber officinale, 957 nucleotides long. RefSeq lists it as uncharacterized. The transcript is spliced from 3 exons. The record is from RefSeq and is a predicted model, not a curated record. Lineage: Eukaryota; Viridiplantae; Streptophyta; Magnoliopsida; Zingiberales; Zingiberaceae.